UACAGAGGGUGCGAGCGUUGUCCGGAAUCACUGGGCGUAAAGCGCGUGUAGGCGGGCCGCCGCGUCGGCUGCUGAAAUCCCCCGGCUCAACCGGGGAAGGGGCACCGAUACGGGCGGCCUGGAGGGGGGUAGGGGGGGCCUGGAACGUUCCGGUGGAGCGGUGAAAUGCGUUGAGAUCGGAAGGAACGCCCGUGGCGAAAGCGAGGCCCUGGACCCUUACUGACGCUGAGACGCGAAAGCCAGGGGAGCGAACGGG
This 256-nucleotide ribosomal RNA is filed under the name uncultured bacterium. Its description in RNAcentral is "partial 16S ribosomal RNA". It matches the Rfam family "Bacterial small subunit ribosomal RNA", at positions 524 to 776 of the family's 1533-position model. The record is from RNAcentral.